Molecule: ribosomal RNA, 430 nt
Filed under: uncultured bacterium
Lineage: Bacteria
Description: bacterial SSU rRNA
Rfam family: Bacterial small subunit ribosomal RNA
Source: RNAcentral
GACCAAACUUUCAGUAACUUAGUGGCGGACGGGUGAGUAACGCGUGGGUAACCUGCCUUAUACAGGGGGAUAACAGUCGGAAACGACUGCUAAUACCGCAUAAGCGCACAGUAUCGCAUGAUACAGUGUGAAAAGAUUUAUCGGUAUAAGAUGGACCCGCGUCUGAUUAGCUGGUUUGGUGAGGGUAACGGCCCACCAAGGCGACCGAUCAGUAGCCGGCCUGAGAGGGUGAACGGCCACAUUGGGACUGAGACACGGCCCAAACUCCUACGGGAGGCAGCAGUGGGGAAUAUUGCACAAUGGGGGAAACCCUGAUGCAAGCGACGCCGCGUGAGUGAAGAAGUAUUUCGGUAUGUAAAGCUCUAUCAGCAGGGAAGAAAAUGACGGUACCUGACUAAGAAGCCCCGGCUAACUACGUGCCAGCAGCAGC